Panicum virgatum (switchgrass) is the source of this 965-nucleotide long non-coding RNA. RefSeq lists it as uncharacterized. The record is from RefSeq and is a predicted model, not a curated record. Lineage: Eukaryota; Viridiplantae; Streptophyta; Magnoliopsida; Poales; Poaceae. The transcript is spliced from 2 exons.
ACCUAUUGACAUCCAUUGCAGACAUUUCUUUUCCUUUUGUUUGAAAGUCACUUUUUUUUCAAAAAAAGAAAGUCACUUUUUCAUUUUCUUGAGAAACAAGAUUUUCAGCUUGCUUCUGUUCUCACUUUUGCCGGUCAUUCCUAAAAGCUAAAUCUUUCACUGUUGUUUCUUUAUUGUUAGCAUUUUUUUGAGUAGUGGUUAAGAUGGAUACGUAAGGUCUCACCAUUUAGAUCUGGACUACUUCAAUAUCAAGUUUUAGAUAAAGAACAUCACAAAGUAAUCUGAGGUACUAUUUUCUGGGGCUGCAAAGGUUGAAGUAUUUGAAUUGAAUUUUAUUAUUAGCUUUCACCUCUUUUGGUGCAACAGUGUAGUGAUUUGUUAUUAUUUCUAUAUUGUUGUACUCAGCAUUCCACUUUAUUUUGCUCUUCUUCUAAUAGCUGUUAAAAGACUGCAGAGAAAAGCAGUGCCAGUAAAACCCAAGUGCAAAAAUCUAUCCCUCUAAACUCAGCAGCUAGAACUAGUUGUGUUUGUGACAAAGGGACCUCCUCUCCUCUCUUGUGAUAGCAAUGAAUCUUGGCAUGUUACUCGUUGGAAUUUGAUUAGAGAAUUUGAGAAGCUGACACUGUGUUUUUCAGAGGCUACUCAGCAUCAAUCCAGCGGGGUCAAUGCAAUUCAGGUGGCAGCUGUUACUAUGAAACUGAAUCAAUAACGAAUGAGCAGUACCAUCAUGGUUUCCUAUUAAGUCAAUGGACAAACUAAUACUCCACCUGUAACAGAUGUACUGCACCAUUUACCAGAUCUUGUGAGCUUGUGUAUUAGUAGUCAAGUCAUUGGUAGAUCAAUGUAUACUCCAAUCCCCUCUAAUCAUUCCUCUCAAUCGUCAGCAAUGAUGAAGGAAGAUACUCCUAUACUGUCUAAAUGUGUCUCGCAAAAUUGAACAUAAAUACUGAACAAAUUGCAGGAUC